Non-coding RNA from Triticum aestivum (bread wheat), 132 nucleotides. NCBI's taxonomy places the organism in Eukaryota, Viridiplantae, Streptophyta, Magnoliopsida, Poales, Poaceae. The record is from Rfam.
AUGCUACUCUCUCCGUUCAAAAUACUUGUCAUUAAAAUGAAUAAAAAUGAUGUAUCUAAAACUAAAAUACAUCUAGAUACAUCUUUUUUAUUUAUUUUGAUGACAAAUAUUUUCGGACGAAGGGAGUAUCAG